NNNNNNNNNNNNNNNNNAAAAAAAAAAAAAAAAAAAAAAAAAAAAAGUAUAAUAAAAUAAUGAAGGAAAAUUAAAAAGAAGUGAUAAAAAUAAAAUUGUUAGAAAUAUGUAAAUUCUGUAUAUGUAUGCGUGUGUGUUUUUUUUUUUUUUUUUCUGAUGAAAUAAAAUAAAACUUUUUUAGGGUACAACUUGUCUUGUUAUAUAUAUAUAUAUAUAUAUAUAUACAAAUUACAGACGUAUUUAAUAAAUAUGUUGAGAUUAUAUGGACCAAGUAUGUUAAGCUCUUCGAAAAUUGUUAAAUCGAUACCAUGUAUAAGCAUUAUAAAUUAUUUGGUGCUAAUACUUGUAUUCGUAGUGAUGGUAAAAGAGACCAGAGCUAAAAAUGAAAAUUCGUCAUCAAUAUAUACUAAGAACGGAAGUACAGGUAAUAACCGUGCAUAUGGCGUAACAAAAAAUAAUUUGCGAAAUAGAAAAGCAAGUUCUCUUGAACCUAUAUACACAGAUAGUGAAUUAAAUAUAAAAUAUUUUGAAAAAAGUGAUAGUAAUUAUGAGGAAUUAUAUAAAAAACAUCCUUUAUGUGAAGAAAAAUAUAAGUUAGUAGAUAAGUUUAAAAGCAUGAUUAUAUUUAAGAAACAAAUGGAUAAAAGUAAAAAACUUGUCCUAUUUGACACAUGUAUAAAAGAAAUGUAUGAAAUACUAUAUGUAACCAUCAGUAAUACGAGUAAUGUACUUUCUAUAAUCGCAACUGUUUAUGGUUAUGUUCCAUUUAUAUUUCUAGUAGCAGUUGUUAUAGCAGUAUGCGUAACCUUUAAUAAAUAUUUUAUAUAUUUUAUAUUAAUAUUUAUUAUUCAAACUUUUAUAAGUAAUGUAGUAUUAAAAAAUAUAAUAAAAGAAAAAAGACCUAUGAACAGUGCUUUAGAUUCUUAUGGCAUGCCAUCAACGCACAGCGCAUACUCACUUUGCUACUUGACAUUUUUGUUUCUACAUUUAACUGAAGGUAAAAAAAAUAAAUGGAAUAUUAUAACAUACAUUAUUGCUACAAUUCUAUUUUUGCCUAUACCUUGGAGCCGUGUAUAUAUAGAGGAUCAUACACUAAAGCAAGCCAUUUGCGGAAGUAUAGUUGGUAUAUUUGUUGGUAUUCUGUUUUAUUAUUUAAAAAAACAUUUUAUGCCACAUAAGAAAAUUUAACUUUUUAUUAUUAUUAAUAUUUUAAUUAUUAUAACUAUUAUUAUUAUUAUUAUUACU
Molecule: long non-coding RNA, 1245 nt
Filed under: Piliocolobus tephrosceles (Ugandan red Colobus)
Lineage: Eukaryota; Metazoa; Chordata; Mammalia; Primates; Cercopithecidae
Description: lncRNA (ENSPTEG00000009005.1)
Source: RNAcentral